RNAcentral lists this ribosomal RNA (253 nucleotides) under uncultured bacterium. RNAcentral describes it as "partial 16S ribosomal RNA". It matches the Rfam family "Bacterial small subunit ribosomal RNA", at positions 524 to 776 of the family's 1533-position model. The record is from RNAcentral.
UACGUAGGGUCCGAGCGUUGUCCGGAAUUAUUGGGCGUAAAGGGCUCGUAGGCGGUCUGUCGCGUCGGGAGUGAAAACUUACAGCUUAACUGUGAGCGUGCUUCCGAUACGGGCAGACUUGAGGUAUUCAGGGGAGAACGGAAUUCCUGGUGUAGCGGUGAAAUGCGCAGAUAUCAGGAGGAACACCGGUGGCGAAGGCGGGUCUCUGGGCCGAUACUGACGCUGAGGAGCGAAAGCGUGGGGAGCAAACAGG